GUACACGCUGUGACUAGCAUAUCAAUAAGCGGAGGAAAAGAAACUAACAAGGAUUCCCCUAGUAACGGCGAGUGAAGCGGGAAGAGCUCAAAUUUGAAAUCUUAAAGGGUUUCCCUUUACGAAUUGUAGUUUAAAGAAGUGUUUUCUGUUGAGGUUUUGGUAAAAGUUCUUUGGAAUAGGACAUCAUAGAGGGUGAGAAUCCCGUAUUUGACCUUUACUUUCAACUUUGUGAUACACUUUCAAAGAGUCGGAUUGUUUGGGAAUGCAGUCCAAAAUGGGUGGUAAAUUUCAUCUAAAGCUAAAUAGUUGGCGAGAGACCGAUAGCGAACAAGUACCGUGAGGGAAAGAUGAAAAGAACUUUGAAAAGAGAGUUAAACAGGUACGUGAAAUUGUCAAAAGGGAAGCGUUUGACACCAGUGUUGUUUUUCUGAAAAUCAAUUAAAGAACUGUUUAUGCUAAGCUGUUUAGACUUUAUCAGCUAUCUGUUUAGUUUUGAGCUUUUCUUUAAUGCACUUUUCAGUUAACAAGUCAACAUCAAUUUCUUUUGCUGUAAAAAAGCUUGAGGAAGGUGGCUUGAGAUUCGUCUUAAGUGUUUAUAGCCUCUUGCCUAUGCAGUCGGAGAGAUUGAGGUCUGCAGCGUAGAUCCUUCGGGGCUAAAUGCAUUUGUGCUAAGUUAUAGCAUUUUAUAGACAACUUGUUGACUAUGAUUUGUCUUGUAGCUUACUCGCUUAUGUUAUUUUACCUACGCUUAGGAUGUUGAAGAUGUAGCACAUCAU
This 776-nucleotide ribosomal RNA is filed under the name uncultured Neocallimastigales. Its description in RNAcentral is "partial large subunit ribosomal RNA". It matches the Rfam family "Eukaryotic large subunit ribosomal RNA", at positions 22 to 635 of the family's 3401-position model. Lineage: Eukaryota; Fungi; Neocallimastigomycota; Neocallimastigomycetes; Neocallimastigales. The record is from RNAcentral.